CUGGCGGCGUGCCUAAUACAUGCAAGUAGAACGCUGAAGAGAGGAGCUUGCUCUUCUUGGAUGAGUUGCGAACGGGUGAGUAACGCGUAGGUAACCUGCCUUGUAGCGGGGGAUAACUAUUGGAAACGAUAGCUAAUACCGCAUAACAAUGGAUGACACAUGUCAUUUAUUUGAAAGGGGCAAUUGCUCCACUACAAGAUGGACCUGCGUUGUAUUAGCUAGUAGGUGAGGUAAUGGCUCACCUAGGCGACGAUACAUAGCCGACCUGAGAGGGUGAUCGGCCACACUGGGACUGAGACACGGCCCAGACUCCUACGGGAGGCAGCAGUAGGGAAUCUUCGGCAAUGGGGGCAACCCUGACCGAGCAACGCCGCGUGAGUGAAGAAGGUUUUCGGAUCGUAAAGCUCUGUUGUAAGUCAAGAACGGGUGUGAGAGUGGAAAGUUCACACUGUGGACGGUAGCUUACCAGAAAGGGACGGCUAACUACGUGCCAGCAGCGCGGUAAUACGUAGGUCCCGAGCGUUGUCCGGGAUUUAUUGGGCGUAAAGCGAGCGCAGGCGGUUUGAUAAGUCUGAAGUUAAAGGCUGUGGCUCAACCAUAGUUCGCUUUGGAAACUGUCAAACUUGAGUGCAGAAGGGGAGAGUGGAAUUCCAUGUGUAGCGGUGAAAUGCGUAGAUAUAUGGAGGAACACCGGUGGCGAAAGCGGCUCUCUGGUCUGUAACUGACGCUGAGGCUCGAAAGCGUGGGGAGCGAACAGGAUUAGAUACCCUGGUAGUCCACGCCGUAAACGAUGAGUGCUAGGUGUUGGAUCCUUUCCGGGAUUCAGUGCCGCAGCUAACGCAUUAAGCACUCCGCCUGGGGAGUACGACCGCAAGGUUGAAACUCAAAGGAAUUGACGGGGGCCCGCACAAGCGGUGGAGCAUGUGGUUUAAUUCGAAGCAACGCGAAGAACCUUACCAGGUCUUGACAUCCCGAUGCUAUUUCUAGAGAUAGAAAGUUACUUCGGUACAUCGGUGACAGGUGGUGCAUGGUUGUCGUCAGCUCGUGUCGUGAGAUGUUGGGUUAAGUCCCGCAACGAGCGCAACCCCUAUUGUUAGUUGCCAUCAUUCAGUUGGGCACUCUAGCGAGACUGCCGGUAAUAAACCGGAGGAAGGUGGGGAUGACGUCAAAUCAUCAUGCCCCUUAUGACCUGGGCUACACACGUGCUACAAUGGUUGGUACAACGAGUUGCGAGUCGGUGACGGCGAGCUAAUCUCUUAAAGCCAAUCUCAGUUCGGAUUGUAGGCUGCAACUCGCCUACAUGAAGUCGGAAUCGCUAGUAAUCGCGGAUCAGCACGCCGCGGUGAAUACGUUCCCGGGCCUUGUACACACCGCCCGUCACACCACGAGAGUUUGUAACACCCGAAGUCGGUGAGGUAACCUUUUGGAGCCAGCCGCCUAAGGUGGGACAGAUGAUUGGGGUGAAGUCGUAACA
RNAcentral lists this ribosomal RNA (1474 nucleotides) under Streptococcus thermophilus. RNAcentral's name for it is "bacterial SSU rRNA". It matches the Rfam family "Bacterial small subunit ribosomal RNA". The record is from RNAcentral. Lineage: Bacteria; Bacillati; Bacillota; Bacilli; Lactobacillales; Streptococcaceae.